Molecule: long non-coding RNA, 1362 nt
Filed under: Sus scrofa (pig)
Lineage: Eukaryota; Metazoa; Chordata; Mammalia; Artiodactyla; Suidae
Source: RNAcentral
UUUUUCCCGGGCUUUCGGUCGGCGUUUUCCUUUUGUCGCGGGUUUGGGCGCGCAUCGAACUCUGAAGGGUCGGGAAGGCCUGUCGUUGGAAUGUGGUUGAGUUCCAGGGAGUGUACAGGCUGGAGGAUGGGACAAGACCUAUCUCUGUAUCGAUCAAGCACGGCGUUGGUGUUCCAGCUCAUCACCAAUCCUAAGGAAUUCAAGUGCCUCCCAGGAUGAAUACAGGUAAUUUUUCCAACUGGGGCAUUGGGGUGGCCUCUGUUGUUCCCCACAGAGCAAAUGGGCAGUGAAGCAGUGUUACCUUUUUGCUCCUUCAGUUUCUUCCUUUUGCAAUGAUUUUCCUGGGGAGGGAGACAGCAAGCAGCACAGUUGGUUCUGUGAGGGUGUUCUCUUCCUUCACUCAUAUGUCACUGUCAGAUGAUUUGAAUUGACAAUGCUGAUCCUCUGUGAGGUCCAACACUUAAUAGCAUGUUAGAGUUCUGAUGGCAGUUUACAUGAAUGAAAAAGUGUUAUCUUGUGAUAGUAUUUUAAAAUAACCAUUUGCUGCUGUUCUACAGGUUGUCUUGAUGGUGAUACAUUCAUCUGUCUUAAGAUCCCUGCUGAUCUGCUCAUGGUCAAACUCAUGGAAAGAGUUGAGAGUGGGGCACCUUGUUCCUGCAUCCUCAAAGGAGCAUCUUGUUCCUCCAUUUAAGCUUCCAGAGUUAAAAGGUUAGUUGAUUAAUGUCACCAUAAUAUAUGCCACCAAGUAAGCAGUUUCUGUGAUGAAUCAAACUAGCUCACUAUGAACUAACAAUGAAAAGAUAUGAACACCUGAGAAACUGGAGAACAGAGCAGUGGGAUACUGUCUGCUAGGAACUUAAUAUCACUUACAGUUUUGUCCUUUCCUAGGUACCUGUACCAUUUAGCGGCUUGUUCACUCAAAGGUGAGUGAUUUAUAUGUUGGUGCAUACCGUGUACUGAGGGAGAAAAUGCCUUUUUAGGCAUCUACACAUGAUGACUUACAUGGAAUCUCGUUCGGCUGAUGAUUUGCUGUUGAGACUCGGAAAUCUGAUUUUUUUUUUCUUUUAAGAACUUAAGUGGGAACAAAUUUUAAUGUAGGAAGUAAGCAUUACUGACUCAUUCUUGUUUUGUUUUAGAUCCAUCUUGUCUGGAGCCUGAGGAUGAUUGGAGGUGAAAGGUGUAAGCCAUACUCUGCUCAACUCCAGUCUGAAACUAAGGUUAAAAGAACACGUACUUAACACACGGGUAAGAAUCCAACUCUUGGAGGACAUCAGAAGUGGAAUUUUCUUAUACAACCUACCUAUUCAAAUUAGCAUAUAAUCUUUCUAGCCUUUCUAAAUAAAUAAAGGGAUUUUUUUGUAA